RNAcentral lists this ribosomal RNA (497 nucleotides) under uncultured bacterium. Its description in RNAcentral is "partial 16S ribosomal RNA". It matches the Rfam family "Bacterial small subunit ribosomal RNA", at positions 28 to 507 of the family's 1533-position model. The record is from RNAcentral.
GACGAACGCUGGCGGCGUGCCUAAUACAUGCAAGUUGAGCGCUGAAGGUUGGUACUUGUACCGACUGGAUGAGCAGCGAACGGGUGAGUAACGCGUGGGGAAUCUGCCUUUGAGCGGGGGACAACAUUUGGAAACGAAUGCUAAUACCGCAUAAAAACUUUAAACACAAGUUUUAAGUUUGAAAGAUGCAAUUGCAUCACUCAAAGAUGAUCCCGCGUUGUAUUAGCUAGUUGGUGAGGUAAAGGCUCACCAAGGCGAUGAUACAUAGCCGACCUGAGAGGGUGAUCGGCCACAUUGGGACUGAGACACGGCCCAAACUCCUACGGGAGGCAGCAGUAGGGAAUCUUCGGCAAUGGACGAAAGUCUGACCGAGCAACGCCGCGUGAGUGAAGAAGGUUUUCGGAUCGGAAAACUCUGUUGGUAGAGAAGAACGUUGGUGAGAGUGGAAAGCUCAUCAAGUGACGGUAACUACCCAGAAAGGGACGGCUAACUACGUG